Molecule: ribosomal RNA, 713 nt
Filed under: uncultured bacterium
Lineage: Bacteria
Description: bacterial SSU rRNA
Rfam family: Bacterial small subunit ribosomal RNA
Source: RNAcentral
UGCAAGUUCGAACGGAAAGGCCCUGCUUUUGUGGGGUGCUCGAGUGGCGAACGGGUGAGUAACACGUGAGUAACCUGCCCUUGACUUUGGGAUAACUUCAGGAAACUGGGGCUAAUACCGGAUAGGAGCUCCUGCUGCAUGGUGGGGGUUGGAAAGUUUCGGCGGUUGGGGAUGGACUCGCGGCUUAUCAGCUUGUUGGUGGGGUAGUGGCUUACCAAGGCUUUGACGGGUAGCCGGCCUGAGAGGGUGACCGGCCACAUUGGGACUGAGAUACGGCCCAGACUCCUACGGGAGGCAGCAGUGGGGAAUAUUGCACAAUGGGCGGAAGCCUGAUGCAGCAACGCCGCGUGCGGGAUGACGGCCUUCGGGUUGUAAACCGCUUUCGCCUGUGACGAAGCGUGAGUGACGGUAAUGGGUAAAGAAGCACCGGCUAACUACGUGCCAGCAGCCGCGGUGAUACGUAGGGUGCGAGCGUUGUCCGGAUUUAUUGGGCGUAAAGGGCUCGUAGGUGGUUGAUCGCGUCGGAAGUGUAAUCUUGGGGCUUAACCCUGAGCGUGCUUUCGAUACGGGUUGACUUGAGGAAGGUAGGGGAGAAUGGAAUUCCUGGUGGAGCGGUGGAAUGCGCAGAUAUCAGGAGGAACACCAGUGGCGAAGGCGGUUCUCUGGGCCUUUCCUGACGCUGAAGAGCGAAAGCGUGGGGAGCGAACAGGCUU